CACUAGAAAGCUAAAUCGGGCCUAGCGUCAGCCUUUUAAGCUGAAGAUUGGUGGCCCCCAACCACCUCUAGUGA
This 74-nucleotide transfer RNA is filed under the name Microthrissa royauxi (royal sprat). Its description in RNAcentral is "tRNA-Lys". It matches the Rfam family "tRNA". Rfam says of the family: Transfer RNA (tRNA) molecules are approximately 80 nucleotides in length. Their secondary structure includes four short double-helical elements and three loops (D, anti-codon, and T loops). The record is from RNAcentral. Lineage: Eukaryota; Metazoa; Chordata; Actinopteri; Clupeiformes; Clupeidae.